This 465-nucleotide ribosomal RNA is filed under the name uncultured bacterium. RNAcentral describes it as "partial 16S ribosomal RNA". It matches the Rfam family "Bacterial small subunit ribosomal RNA", at positions 28 to 507 of the family's 1533-position model. The record is from RNAcentral.
GACGAACGCUGGCGGCGUGCUUAACACAUGCAAGUCGAACGGAAAGGCCCUGCUUGCAGGGUACUCGAGUGGCGAACGGGUGAGUAACACGUGGGUGAUCUGCCCUGCACUUCGGGAUAAGCCUGGGAAACUGGGUCUAAUACCGGAUAGGAGCCAUUCUUAGUGUGAUGGUUGGAAAGUUUUUUCGGUGUAGGAUGAGCUCGCGGCCUAUCAGCUUGUUGGUGGGGUAAUGGCCUACCAAGGCGGCGACGGGUAGCCGGCCUGAGAGGGUGGACGGCCACAUUGGGACUGAGAUACGGCCCAGACUCCUACGGGAGGCAGCAGUGGGGAAUAUUGCACAAGGGGCGCAAGCCUGAUGCAGCGACGCCGCGUGGGGGAGGACGGCCUUCGGGUUGUAAACUCCUUUCGCUAGGGACGAAGCUUUUUGUGACGGUACCUAGAGAAGAAGCACCGGCUAACUACGUG